Long non-coding RNA from Eupeodes corollae, 1042 nucleotides. RefSeq lists it as uncharacterized. The record is from RefSeq and is a predicted model, not a curated record. The transcript has 3 exons. Lineage: Eukaryota; Metazoa; Arthropoda; Insecta; Diptera; Syrphidae.
CCAAAAUUCUGAUAUGUCCAUUAUUUCCCUAAGAUUAUGAUCAUUAGAAAAUCUUAGCAUUUUCCACUCCAUGACCAAAUCUUCUGGAUCACCCUGAACCAAGUAAGAAAAACUGUUCAUUAAAGGUAAUAGUGGCACAUCAGAAUCCGACAAAACACUUCUCGGAGUUAUUAUAGACAAGUUUUUUAAAUCAUUAUUACUCAGAUCAAAUCUUAGUAGCAAUUGUUUUAAAAGUUCUAAAUAAAAAUUCAAAGCGUUUGUUUUUAUCUCAUUCCUAUCAAAAUUUGAGAGGUUUGAUUUUUUGAUAUAAUCCUCGGCUUUGCUUCCCAGAAAAACAUCUGUAAUAGAUUUUCCCAUUGAAUUCGCUAAAUCGUAUGAUUUUAUUCCGCUAAUUUCCAAAUAGCACGAAAGAAAAUAUAAUUGAAGUGCGUCCCACUGUUCCACCGCUCGAUUUAUAACGUUUUCUAAGGAGAGCCAUCUUGUCAACGAAAUACCUAAUAUUUUGUGCGGUGGUACUGCACAAUAGUCUUGAAAUUCUUUAAAGUUAUUGAUACGAUUAGCACUGCAUAGGCAGAGCAUAGAUGCAACGAAUGACAAGUGCAUUUUAGAAAAAACAUAUUGGAGUUGCUCUUAAGCUUGGCUUGCAGACCAUUCACCUCACCGGCCAUAACACUUGCACCGUCAGUUGACAGUCCAAUUAAAUUUUCAAAUGGAAUAUCAUUUUCAGAAAAAAAUGUCUUAAUGCUGUUGUAAAUGGUUUCAGCGUCACAUUUUAUAAGUUCAAUCAAACCCAAAAAUCUAUCUUUAAUAAUUUUGGAAUUCUUAUCGACAUACCUUACAACUAAAACUAAAGACUUUCUGGUUGAAAUAUCAGUCGUCUCGUCUGUUAUUAAGGAAAAUUUAGUAGUUUGCAGCUCUGAAACUAUUUUCUGCUUCGCUUUUGUUCCUAGCGUCUCUGCAAGUUGAGUUGCUUUCGUUCGUCCGCACUUGAUUGAGUUUGCAAUUUCCGAAUCGGGACAGCAUUCUUUUAGCAGAUUUGGUA